GAUGAAGAACGUAGCGAAAUGCGGUAAGUAAUGUGAAUUGCAGAAUUCAGUGAAUCAUCGAAUCUUUGAACGCACAUUGCGCCCGCCAGUAUUCUGGCGGGCAUGCCUGUUCGAGCGUCAUUUCAACCAUCAAGCCCCCGGCUUGUGUUGGGGACCUGCGGCUGCCGCAGGCCCUGAAAAGCAGUGGCGGGCUCGCUGUCACACCGAGCGUAGUAGCAUACAUCUCGCUCUGGGCGUGCUGCGGGUUCCGGCCGUUAAACCACCUUCAUAACCCAAGGUUGACCUCGGAUCAGGUAGGAAGACCCGCUGAACUUAAGCAUAUCAAUAAGCGGAGGA
Molecule: unclassified non-coding RNA, 336 nt
Filed under: soil metagenome
Description: partial contains 5.8S ribosomal RNA, internal transcribed spacer 2, and large subunit ribosomal RNA
Rfam family: 5.8S ribosomal RNA (bases 1-120)
Source: RNAcentral